The sequence is a transfer RNA, 73 nucleotides long. It matches the Rfam family "tRNA". From Rfam's summary of the family: Transfer RNA (tRNA) molecules are approximately 80 nucleotides in length. Their secondary structure includes four short double-helical elements and three loops (D, anti-codon, and T loops).
GGGCCGUUAGCUCAAUUGGUAGAGCUGCGGACUUUUAAUCCGUCGGUUCUGGGUUCGAGCCCCAGGCGGCCCA